GCAUAACGCGAAGAACCUUACCCACCUUUGACAUGUACGGAAUCCUUUAGAGAUAGAGGAGUGCUCGAAAGAGAGCCGUAACACAGGUGCUGCAUGGCUGUCGUCAGCUCGUGUCGUGAGAUGUUGGGUUAAGUCCCGCAACGAGCGCAACCCUUGCCAUUAGUUGCUACGAAAGGGCACUCUAAUGGGACUGCCGGUGACAAACCGGAGGAAGGUGGGGAUGACGUCAAGUCCUCAUGGCCCUUAUAGAUGGGGCUACACACGUCAUACAAUGGCUGGUACAAAGGGUUGCCAACCCGCGAGGUGGAGCUAAUCCCAUAAAACCGAUCGUAGUCCGGAUCGCAGUCUGCAACUCGACUGCGUGAAGUCGGAAUCGCUAGUAAUCGUGAAUCAGAAUGUCACGGUGAAUACGUUCCCGGGUCUUGUACACACCG
This 434-nucleotide ribosomal RNA is filed under the name uncultured bacterium. RNAcentral's name for it is "bacterial SSU rRNA". It matches the Rfam family "Bacterial small subunit ribosomal RNA", at positions 954 to 1392 of the family's 1533-position model. The record is from RNAcentral.